GGACCCUCCCCUCGGGUCCUCGCCGGUUCCCUGACACGACCUCCAAGUGGCGUGCUAGGUUAAGGUUACCAGCUGCAGGGGCAGGCUCGCCCUAGCAGUAAUGCCAGCAUUAGUUAUAUUGACAAAUACAUAAAUGUUUAGAGUGUUCGUCUGUGUACUACCUAAGAACAGGCAUGCUGCGGGUGGUAGCUUACCACGUUCGGGAAACACUGGUCAGCAGUCUGAGGAGGACUCACUAGGCUGAAAUUACAAUGUUGGCAGGGCUGCAUUCCCUUCUGGAGGCUCAAGAGGAAUCAUCCCUUUUUUGCCUCUCCCACCUUGGCUUGUGGCCCCCUUCCUUUAUCUUCAAAGCUGUUAAUGGAGGGUUGGAUCCUCACCUCACAUCACUGCAACUUUCUUUUGCCUCCCUCUUCCAUUUUUAAAGAAACUUUGUUAUGAUAUUGGGCCCACCCCAAUAAUCCAGGAUAAUCGCCGUAUUUUAGAGGCAGAUGAUAGCAACCUUAAUUCCUCUUUGCCAUGUUUGGUAACAUAGUCACAGGUUUCAGGAAUUAGUACAUCUAACUGGACAUCUUUGGGAGGCUAUUAUUCUGCCUACCACACCACCCCAAACAUAAACCUACUUAAACAGCUGGA
Molecule: long non-coding RNA, 633 nt
Organism: Aethalodelphis obliquidens (Pacific white-sided dolphin)
Lineage: Eukaryota; Metazoa; Chordata; Mammalia; Artiodactyla; Delphinidae
Exons: 2
Source: RefSeq, a predicted model, not a curated record